This 959-nucleotide long non-coding RNA is filed under the name Olea europaea subsp. europaea. Lineage: Eukaryota; Viridiplantae; Streptophyta; Magnoliopsida; Lamiales; Oleaceae. The record is from RNAcentral.
AAAUCUACGGCAAUUGGGUAUCUCUUAUGAUUAUUUGACGGAGGCUGGUUGGAAAGAAUACCAUAUCAAUAAUCUUGUCCAUCUAACUAAACUUCAAUCAUUAAACUGUUCUAUUGAAUAUACGCUCCCCAAUUUCUUAGACAAUAUCACUUUUCCGACAUCACUCAGAAAGUUGACUUUAAAAGGCACCGAACUUCAUCCUUCCAAAUUGCUGAUUCUUGGUUCGAUGCCAAAUCUUGAAGUGCUGAAAUUGAAAUGGAAUACCUUCCUUUGUCCGGAGUGGGAACCAAGUGAAGGAGAGUUUCUUAAAUUGAAAUUUCUACUAUUACACGACGUUGAACUGAAGUACUGGAUAGCUGAUAGUAUCCACUUUCCGAGUCUCGAGCACCUAAAAAUUUUUGAUUGCGGACUGCUGGAUGAGAUCCCUAGUGGUUUUGGAGAAAUUUCAACUCUUCAAUCCAUCGAGUUGUAUGUCUGUUGUGAUUCAAUUGUAGAAUCAGCAAAGAAAAUAGAAGAGGCACAAUUGGAUUGGGGGAACGAUGCGUUCAAGUUAAUAUAUUGAGAAGUACUAAAUGUGAUGAGUUUCAAAGUUGUCUAUUCCAAUAAUUUAUUGGUACCAUUUUCUUUCGUAAACCUUUCCAUUUUAAAUUUUUCGCUUUCUUGUCUUUAUCUACAUUCAUACAUCUCCUCCUCUGAAUUUGAUACAGUCUGCAGUUCAAGAUAUGAGAGCUCAGUUUACCAACUUCAAUGCAGAUGCUGUGCAUUAAGCGUGCAAUUAAGUUUCUCGAAAGUUUGUACUGUACAACCAUGAUUUCAUUUAAUGUCCUUGUUUGUCUACGUUGUUUCUUUUGCUUUCCACUCUCUUUAUUUGUCGUUUUCACAUGAAUUUAUUAAUUGAAAAAAUCAUGAUUCAUGUAUCAUUGUUCUCGUCAUUCUAGAGAUUUACAUUUUGUGUGCAG